GCCGUCGAAGAUGUAGAGGUAGUCCCCGGCCAGCGGGGUCUUCAGCCAGGCUGGACCCUCUGUGCCGGCGGGUGCAGCGUUGGGCCGCGGUGGGGGCACGGGGAGGCCCGGCGUCAGCCCCUCGGGCAGGGCGUUAUUGCAGAGCGCAGGGUCGGAGCCGGACAGGCCGCGCGUCGCUUUGAUCCCGGUGCACCCAUGGGUGUUUUCGGGCUCAUCCCAGGAGAUGAGGGGCGGCUCGGCACGCUGCUUGGCCCGGCUCUCCUCCUUGUCCUGCCGCAGGCGCGACAGAGCGUCGUACUCCAUCUGCAGGGCCUCGGCCAGUGCCAGCUCCUUGCGGCUGAUGCCCACCGACUCCAGGGACUUCCAGUGCUCUCCAUUGCCGCGCGUGGCGGACAUCGCUCCGGGAUCCUAACCGCGCUCAGGGCUCAGGAGAAAGGCAUGCUGCACCGCCGGCCACCUGCUCCGAGCGGACCCGGCGGGCAGCGCGGGGCCGCGCCGCGGCGGCGGCGGCUGCGGGCGGACGGAG
This 526-nucleotide long non-coding RNA is filed under the name Gallus gallus (chicken). The record is from RNAcentral. Lineage: Eukaryota; Metazoa; Chordata; Aves; Galliformes; Phasianidae.